GAAUUUUAUAUGAUUUUAUUUGAAAUUAUUUUAAAAGGAUAGUAAAAUUGUAUUUAAUUGGGAGGAUAAUUAAAUAUUAAUAACUUUAAUUAUAAUGUAAAUAUAAAUGAAUAGAUUUUGGGAUGGUUAAUAAAUUAUUGAAGAAUUAAUUACCUUAGGGAUAACAGCGUAAUAUUUUUGGAGAGUUCAUAUUGAUAAUAAUGUUUGC
RNAcentral lists this ribosomal RNA (208 nucleotides) under Solenopsis sp. 15 GR-2021. RNAcentral describes it as "partial large subunit ribosomal RNA". The record is from RNAcentral. Lineage: Eukaryota; Metazoa; Arthropoda; Insecta; Hymenoptera; Formicidae.